UGGUCCAAGACUGAUCUGUGUGUCUAGGG
This 29-nucleotide non-coding RNA is filed under the name Rattus norvegicus (Norway rat). Lineage: Eukaryota; Metazoa; Chordata; Mammalia; Rodentia; Muridae. The record is from RNAcentral.